RNAcentral lists this ribosomal RNA (253 nucleotides) under uncultured bacterium. RNAcentral's name for it is "partial 16S ribosomal RNA". It matches the Rfam family "Bacterial small subunit ribosomal RNA", at positions 524 to 776 of the family's 1533-position model. The record is from RNAcentral.
CACGUAGGGCGCAAGCGUUGUCCGGAAUUAUUGGGCGUAAAGAGCUCGUAGGCGGUCUGUUGCGUCCGCUGUGAAAACCCGGGGCUUAACCCCUGGCUUGCAGUGGAUACGGACAGACUAGAGGUAGGUAGGGGAGAAUGGAAUUCCCGGUGUAGCGGUGAAAUGCGCAGAUAUGGGGAGGAACACCGGUGGCGAAGGCGGUUCUCUGGGCCUUACCUGACGCUGAGGAGCGAAAGCGUGGGGAGCGAACAGG